This 636-nucleotide long non-coding RNA is filed under the name Pan troglodytes (chimpanzee). Its description in RNAcentral is "long non-coding RNA NONPTRT015520". Lineage: Eukaryota; Metazoa; Chordata; Mammalia; Primates; Hominidae. The record is from RNAcentral.
AAACCAUUUUACGGUCAUACAUCAUUCAUAGCCGUAAAAGCCAUUUGCCCUCUGUCACCCAACCAAUCAGGAUUCAGCCAAGGGGAAGCUGAGCAGUAGCCCGGCAGUUUUCUUUGGGCUCCUCUGCGUUUCCGCAACCUGGUUCAGCAGAAUGUCACAGAAAAUUAACUCCCCUGGGUUAUCAAGGACCCCUCCUCACUAAGGAGCAAUAUAGGAUUUCAGGCUAAUAUUUACCCCUCCCCAAGCAACACCUUGUGAUGUGCCAGAAGAGGCAGAAGCGCAGCAGGCAUCACACACAAGCCCUGGGUAACACCUGCUGCUUUGAACUGUUGGAAUGAAAGGCCGAGGAGGGGACGCUGCCAGUCCACGUCUCGGCGAUUCACUCCCGCUGCCCGCUUGGAGCAGACUUGAAAUUGAUGUCAGCGUCUAAGCCACCCAGCUGAUCCCAGAACCUCAAAAUUCCUCCAACGUUAUCAUGCAGAGCAAUUUACCUCUGUCUUGGACUACAUCUAAACGCCAUCAAAAUGGUCUAAGUAUUUGCUAAGAUGAAGGCAGUUCUCUCCCCUAAGAGGAAUUCUGCCACAGCUCACCUAAGGAGUUAUGUUGGAGAAUUCCAUUAUCCACUCUUUAUCCACC